GAUAAACGCUGGCGGCGUGCCUAAUACAUGCAAGUCGAGCGAACAGACGAGGAGCUUGCUCCUCUGACGUUAGCGGCGGACGGGUGAGUAACACGUGGAUAACCUACCUAUAAUACUGGGAUAACUUCGGGAAACCGGAGCUAAUACCGGAUAAUAUAUUGAACCGCAUGGUUCAAUAGUGAAAGACGGUUUUGCUGUCACUUAUAGAUGGAUCCGCGCCGCAUUAGCUAGUUGGUAAGGUAACGGCUUACCAAGGCAACGAUGCGUAGCCGACCUGAGAGGGUGAUCGGCCACACUGGAACUGAGACACGGUCCAGACUCCUACGGGAGGCAGCAGUAGGGAAUCUUCCGCAAUGGGCGAAAGCUUGACGGAGCAACGCCGCGUGAGUGAUGAAGGUCUUCGGAUCGUAAAACUCUGUUAUUAGGGAAGAACAAAUGUGUAAGUAACUAUGCACGUCUUGACGGUACCUAAUCAGAAAGCCACGGCUAACUACGUG
This 497-nucleotide ribosomal RNA is filed under the name uncultured bacterium. RNAcentral describes it as "partial 16S ribosomal RNA". It matches the Rfam family "Bacterial small subunit ribosomal RNA", at positions 28 to 507 of the family's 1533-position model. The record is from RNAcentral.